GGUAGGCAGGCACCUGGUUCCCUGAGCCCUGACCACUGCCUCCAGGGCCUGACCAGUGGGGAGCUGGCGUCAGGAGCCAGAGCUGGGAACCCCCACCCCCAGGACUCGGGUGUGGGGCCGGGGGCUCAGCUCUCGGCCCAACGCCUGCCCCGACCUCAGCUGUCCUGAGGCAGAGAGAAAGGUCUUCCUUUGCCGUUGGUUCACCCUCCAAUGGCCGCUGCGGCCGGCGCGCUGCGGCCAGCGCACCACGCUGAUCCGAUGGCAGGAGCCAGGUGCUUCUCCUGGUCUCCCAUGGGGUGCAGGGCCCAAGCACCUGGGCCAUCCUCCACUGCACUCCCUGCCCACAGCAGAGGGCUGGCCUGGAAGAGGGGCAACUGGGACAGAAUCCGGCGCCCCGACCGGGACUAGAACCCGUUGUGCCGGCGCCGCUAGGCGGAGGAUUAGCCUAGUGAGCCGCGGCGCCGGCCCAGGAUGCACUCUUUCCACUGCUGGCUCUGGGCACGCCCGGAGCAGCGUCAGGACGCACGGCGCAGAUGUCAAGCAGAAAGGCCCCCUGGCAACACUCGUGUGUGCAGAGAACACCCCAGAGUGGAGAGGAGACACAGGCACCAGACAGGACCACGGGGGAGGGGGCACUCUGAUGUCUUUGUCGACAUAUCUCCAUCUGCUCGUUCAGUCUCCACAUGGCUGCAGCCGCCAAGGCUGGGCCAGGCCGAAGCCGGGAGCCAGGAGCUCCACCCAGGUCUCUAACAUUGGGUGCAGGAGCCCAAGUGCUUGGGCCAGCACCUGCCGGCUUCCCAGGCGCAUUAGCAGGGGGCUGGAUCGGAAGCAGAGCAGCUGGCCUCGAACCCGUGCUCCGUCUGACACGGGUGCUGGCGCUGCGGGCAGGAGCAUGACUCACAACCGGCCCCUGGGCACCUCUGCUUUGUAACUGAAAGUGGGCAGUGCAAGGCUGACUCCCGCGGCCCGGUUCUAUGGAACGCUGGGGGCUUCCUUCUCUGUCGGCACCGCCACCCAUGACCUGGGCACUCGCCUGUCCCCUGAGCUUACACACGGCGGCUCAGUCUCUUCUUUGUUUCUUUUCAUUUAUUCAAAUGGCAGAGAGACAGAGACAAACAGACGGAGACCCUCUAUCUGCUGGUUUGCUCAUCAAAUGCCCGCAACAGCCGGCGCUGGGCCAGACUGAAGCCAGAAUGGAAGAUCUCUCCCCC
This 1211-nucleotide long non-coding RNA is filed under the name Oryctolagus cuniculus (rabbit). RNAcentral's name for it is "lncRNA (ENSOCUG00000032418.1)". The record is from RNAcentral. Lineage: Eukaryota; Metazoa; Chordata; Mammalia; Lagomorpha; Leporidae.